Molecule: ribosomal RNA, 464 nt
Filed under: uncultured bacterium
Lineage: Bacteria
Description: partial 16S ribosomal RNA
Rfam family: Bacterial small subunit ribosomal RNA
Source: RNAcentral
ACGAACGCUGGCGGCGUGCUUAACACAUGCAAGUCGAACGGUGAACUCCGCUUGCGGGGGGAUCAGUGGCGAACGGGUGAGUAACACGUGGGCAACCUGCCCUCAGCUCUGGGAUAACUCCAAGAAAUUGGGGCUAAUACCGGAUAUGACCGCUGACCGCAUGGUCUGGUGGUGGAAAGAUUUAUCGGCUAGGGAUGGGCCCGCGGCCUAUCAGCUUGUUGGUGGGGUAGUGGCCUACCAAGGCGACGACGGGUAGCCGGCCUGAGAGGGUGACCGGCCACACUGGGACUGAGACACGGCCCAGACUCCUACGGGAGGCAGCAGUGGGGAAUAUUGCGCAAUGGGCGAAAGCCUGACGCAGCGACGCCGCGUGGGGGAUGACGGCCUUCGGGUUGUAAACCUCUUUCAGCAGGGACGAAGCGAAAGUGACGGUACCUGCAGAAGAAGCACCGGCCAACUACGUG